AAAUCCCUGCCAUGCUCGUGUGGAUGCGAUAAAAUUGAGCCAACAUUUGAAGAAGGGGAGCCUUAGAUUUUCAAGUGAACUGCACGCCGCCUCGGCGCGGAAGCACAAAGCUUGAAUGCGGGCGCCCACGUGGACCGCAAGGUUCAGAAAAUCAAUUCUCACGGCAUGUCGCGGGGAUUUU
RNAcentral lists this non-coding RNA (181 nucleotides) under Candidatus Poribacteria bacterium. RNAcentral's name for it is "6S RNA". It matches the Rfam family "6S / SsrS RNA". From Rfam's summary of the family: E. coli 6S RNA was the first non coding RNA to be sequenced, but its function was unknown until recently. It consists of 184 nucleotides that fold into an extended hairpin structure with a large single-stranded internal bulge. The 6S RNA specifically associates with RNA polymerase holoenzyme containing the sigma70 specificity factor. Lineage: Bacteria; Candidatus Poribacteria. The record is from RNAcentral.